Molecule: ribosomal RNA, 952 nt
Filed under: Nagrajchalara venicola
Lineage: Eukaryota; Fungi; Ascomycota; Leotiomycetes; Helotiales
Description: partial large subunit ribosomal RNA
Rfam family: Eukaryotic large subunit ribosomal RNA
Source: RNAcentral
UUUUCCCCCUGUGACCUUAGCAUAUCAAUAAGCGGAGGAAAAGAAACCAACAGGGAUUACCUCAGUAACGGCGAGUGAAGCGGUAAUAGCUCAAAUUUGAAAUCUGGCUUCGGUCCGAGUUGUAAUUUGUAGAAGAUGCUUCGGGUGUGGCUCCGGUCUAAGUUCCUUGGAACAGGACGUCAUAGAGGGUGAGAAUCCCGUAUGUGACUGGGUGCCUCCGCCUAUGUGAAGCUCUUUCGACGAGUCGAGUUGUUUGGGAAUGCAGCUCAAAAUGGGUGGUAUAUUUCAUCUAAAGCUAAAUAUUGGCCAGAGACCGAUAGCGCACAAGUAGAGUGAUCGAAAGAUGAAAAGCACUUUGGAAAGAGAGUUAAACAGUACGUGAAAUUGUUGAAAGGGAAGCGUUUGCAAUCAGACUUGCACGUUGCCGAUCAUCUGGUGUUCUCACCAGUGCACUCGGUUUCGUUCAGGCCAGCAUCGGUUUGGGUGGUUGGAUAAAGGCCUUGGGAAUGUAGCUUCUUUCGGGGAGUGUUAUAGCCCUCGGUGCAAUGCAGCCUACCUGGACCGAGGACCGCGCUUCGGCUAGGAUGCUGGCGUAAUGAUUGUAAACGACCCGUCUUGAAACACGGACCAAGGAGUCUAACAUCUAUGCGAGUAUUUGGGUGUUAAACCCAUAUGCGUAAUUAACGUGAACGGAGGUAAGAGCCCUUAAGGGUGCAUUAUCGACCGGUCCUGAUGUCUUCGGAAGGAUCUGAGUAAGAGCAUAGCUGUUGGGACCCGAAAGAUGGUGAACUAUGCCUGAAUAGGGUGAAGCCAGAGGAAACUCUGGUGGAGGCUCGCAGCGGUUCUGACGUGCAAAUCGAUCGUCAAAUUUGGGUAUAGGGGCGAAAGACUAAUCGAACCAUCUAGUAGCUGGUUCCUGCCGAGUCUUCCUCUCUCGAGGUAAACCGCUCUC